Cricetulus griseus (Chinese hamster) is the source of this 82-nucleotide small nuclear RNA. Lineage: Eukaryota; Metazoa; Chordata; Mammalia; Rodentia; Cricetidae. The record is from Ensembl.
GCACAUACACUAAAAUUGGAAUGAUUUGAAGAUUAGCAUGUCCCCUGAGCAUGAAUGACAUGAAAAUUUGUCUUAUUUUUUU